This 505-nucleotide ribosomal RNA is filed under the name uncultured bacterium. RNAcentral's name for it is "partial 16S ribosomal RNA". It matches the Rfam family "Bacterial small subunit ribosomal RNA", at positions 28 to 507 of the family's 1533-position model. The record is from RNAcentral.
GACGAACGCUGGCGGCGUGCCUAAUACAUGCAAGUAGAACGCACAGUUUAUACCGUAGCUUGCUACACCAUAGACUGUGAGUUGCGAACGGGUGAGUAACGCGUAGGUAACCUGCCUGGUAGCGGGGGAUAACUAUUGGAAACGAUAGCUAAUACCGCAUAAUAUUGAUUAUUGCAUGAUAAUUGAUUGAAAGAUGCUAUUGCAUCACUACCAGAUGGACCUGCGUUGUAUUAGCUAGUAGGUGAGGUAACGGCUCACCUAGGCGACGAUACAUAGCCGACCUGAGAGGGUGAUCGGCCACACUGGGACUGAGACACGGCCCAGACUCCUACGGGAGGCAGUAGUAGGGAAUCUUCGGCAAUGGACGAAAGUCUGACCGAGCAACGCCGCGUGAGUGAAGAAGGUUUUCGGAUCGUAAAGCUCUGUUGUAAGAGAAGAACGGGUGUGAGAGUGGAAAGUUCACACUGUGACGGUAUCUUACCAGAAAGGGACGGCUAACUACGUG